Molecule: long non-coding RNA, 1106 nt
Filed under: Homo sapiens (human)
Lineage: Eukaryota; Metazoa; Chordata; Mammalia; Primates; Hominidae
Description: HSALNT0047614
Source: RNAcentral
UUUCAACUGUGAGGGGAUCAGUUUCCCUAAACCCACAUUGUUCAGGGGUCAAUUGUACAACUAUAGUCAGAGUAAUCAAAAAUUCCACCAAACAGACACAGACACACACACAUGCACACACACACACACUCACACUUGCAGGUUAUUCAAACAGUUGUGAGGUAGACCUAACAAAGAAACUUUCUCUGCUCCCUUUGCUCCUGCAAACUUCAAAUCCUUCUGAAUACAAACAUCUGUGAUUUAGUGCGAUCAUUUCACCCAUUAAAAUGAUCUGAGUAGGCAAACGAACCAACUGCUUGAUGAUUGUGGUCAGCAGUCUCCAAAGUGGCCCUCCAAUGACCUACGCAUUCCUCUACUCAUGACUGUAGAUAAUCCCCUCCCAUUGAACUUGGACUGGCCCCAUGACUCACUCACAACGGACAGAAUGAAGCAGAAGUGAUCCUCCAGGAAUUCCAAAGCCAGGCUCACAAAAGCCUUGCAGCCCCUACCUUGGUCUCUUAUAGCAUUUCCUCAGGAGGGAAACAAGCUGCCAUAUGAGAAAACGGACUACUACUUCCACUUCUUCACAACAUGAGACACCCCCAUGCUGUGCACAAGACCAAGCUAGCCACACAUUGAGACCAUUGGAGAGAGAAAGAUCCAACAGCCUGCAGGUGUUCCAGCCUCAAAGCUGGACAUACAAGGAAUAGAAGCUUCAGAUGUCUCCGCAUCAGCAACUAUCUGACUGCAACCACAUGAGAUAAAGAAAUCAACGCUUGGCGUGGUGGCUCAUGCCUGUAAUCCUAGCCCUUUAGGGGGCCGAGGCUGGUGGAUCACGAGGUCAAGAGAUCGAGACCAUCCUGGCCAACGUGGUGAAACCCCAUCUCUACUAAAAAUACAAAAAUUAGCUGGGCAUGGUGGCAUAUGCCUGUAGUCCCAGCUACUCGGGAGGCUGAGGUGGAAGAAUUGCUUGAACCAGGAGGUGGAGGUUGCAGUGAGCCGAGAUCAUUCCACUGCACUCCAGCCUGGCAACACAGUGAGACUCUGUCUCAGAAACAAAAAGAAAGAAAGAAAUCAAGACUCAGCAACAUUAAGCAACAUGCAGAAACUGCACAGAUAACUAACAA